UGCAGUACUAAGUAGGUAGCAGUACCUAACUGAUCUUAUCUUGCCUCAGAAGCUAACUAAAAUUGGGUUAGUCAGUACUUUGAUGGAAGACCAUCUAGGAAUCCUAGGACUGUAA
This 115-nucleotide ribosomal RNA is filed under the name Notechis scutatus (mainland tiger snake). Lineage: Eukaryota; Metazoa; Chordata; Lepidosauria; Squamata; Elapidae. The record is from RNAcentral.